Molecule: small RNA, 30 nt
Filed under: Bombyx mori (domestic silkworm)
Lineage: Eukaryota; Metazoa; Arthropoda; Insecta; Lepidoptera; Bombycidae
Description: ovarian small RNA-14950
Source: RNAcentral
CUGGGAUGGAAUGCGUGAAUUUUACGCAUC